AAAAAAGGUAAGCUACUAAGAGCGAAUGGUGGAUGCCUUGACUGGUAAAGGCGAUGAAGGACGUACUAGACUGCGAUAAGCUACGGGGAGCUGUCAAGAAGCUUUGAUCCGUAGAUUUCCGAAUGGGGCAACCCAAUGUAUAGAGAUAUACAUUACCUAUAUAGGAGCGAACGAGGGGAAUUGAAACAUCUUAGUACCCUCAGGAAAAGAAAUCAAUAGAGAUUGCGUCAGUAGCGGCGAGCGAAAGCGCAAGAGGGCAAACCCAGUGCUUGCACUGGGGGUUGUAGGACUGCAAUGUGCAAGAGGUGAGUUUAGCAGAACAUUCUGGAAAGUAUAGCCAUAGAGGGUGAUAGUCCCGUAUGCGAAAAACAAACCUUAGCUAGCAGUAUCCUGAGUAGGGCGGGACACGAGAAAUCCUGUCUGAAGCUGGGUCGACCACGAUCCAACCCUAAAUACUAAUACCAGAUCGAUAGUGCACAAGUACCGUGAGGGAAAGGUGAAAAGAACUGAGGUGAUCAGAGUGAAAUAGAACCUGAAACCAUUUGCUUACAAUCAUUCAGAGCCCUAUGUAGCAAUACAGGGUGAUGGACUGCCUUUUGCAUAAUGAGCCUGCGAGUUGUGGUGUCUGGCAAGGUUAAGCAAACGCGAAGCCGUAGCGAAAGCGAGUCUGAAUAGGGCGCUUAGUCAGAUGCUGCAGACCCGAAACGAAGUGAUCUAUCCAUGAGCAAGUUGAAGCUAGUGUAAGAACUAGUGGAGGACUGAACCCAUAGGCGUUGAAAAGCCCCGGGAUGACUUGUGGAUAGGGGUGAAAGGCCAAUCAAACUUCGUGAUAGCUGGUUCUCUCCGAAAUAUAUUUAGGUAUAGCGUUGUGUCGUAAUAUAAGGGGGUAGAGCACUGAAUGGGCUAGGGCAUACACCAAUGUACCAAACCCUAUCAAACUCCGAAUACCUUAUAUGUAAUCACAGCAGUCAGGCGGCGAGUGAUAAAAUCCGUCGUCAAGAGGGAAACAACCCAGACUACCAGCUAAGGUCCCUAAAUCUUACUUAAGUGGAAAACGAUGUGAAGUUACUUAAACAACCAGGAGGUUGGCUUAGAAGCAGCCAUCCUUUAAAGAAAGCGUAAUAGCUCACUGGUCUAGUGAUUUUGCGCGGAAAAUAUAACGGGGCUAAAGUAAGUACCGAAGCUGUAGACUUGCACACAACUUAGAUUAUUUAAGUUUAGAAUAUGAGAAACUAAGUUAUAUGUUUAGUUAUAUUUUUACUGAUUUUUAUAGAGUAAAGAUAGAAAUAAAACUUAGUAAAAUCAGUAAAAAUAUUCUUAGACUAAAGUUAAGUAGUUUAAGUUGUGUGCAAGUGGUAGGAGAGCGUUCUAUUUGCGUCGAAGGUAUACCGGUAAGGAGUGCUGGAGCGAAUAGAAGUGAGCAUGCAGGCAUGAGUAGCGAUAAUUAAUGUGAGAAUCAUUAACGCCGUAAACCCAAGGUUUCCUACGCGAUGCUCGUCAUCGUAGGGUUAGUCGGGUCCUAAGUCGAGUCCGAAAGGGGUAGACGAUGGCAAAUUGGUUAAUAUUCCAAUACCAACAUUAGUGUGCGAUGGAAGGACGCUUAGGGCUAAGGGGGCUAGCGGAUGGAAGUGCUAGUCUAAGGUCGUAGGAGGUUGUACAGGCAAAUCCGUAUAACAAUACUCCGAGAACUGAAAGGCUUUUUGAAGUCUUCGGAUGGAUAGAAGAACCCCUGAUGCCGUCGAGCCAAGAAAAGUUUCUAAGUUUAGCUAAUGUUGCCCGUACCGUAAACCGACACAGGUGGGUGGGAUGAGUAUUCUAAGGCGCGUGGAAGAACUCUCUUUAAGGAACUCUGCAAAAUAGCACCGUAUCUUCGGUAUAAGGUGUGGUUCGCUUCGUAUUAGGAUUUACUCCGAAAGCGAAGAAACUUACAACAAAGAGUCCCUCCCGACUGUUUACCAAAAACACAGCACUCUGCUAACUCGUAAGAGGAUGUAUAGGGUGUGACGCCUGCCCGGUGCUCGAAGGUUAAUUGAUGGGGUUAGCAUUAGCGAAGCUCUUGAUCGAAGCCCGAGUAAACGGCGGCCGUAACUAUAACGGUCCUAAGGUAGCGAAAUUCCUUGUCGGUUAAAUACCGACCUGCAUGAAUGGCGUAACGAGAUGGGAGCUGUCUCAAAGAGGGAUCCAGUGAAAUUGUAGUGGAGGUGAAAAUUCCUCCUACCCGCGGCAAGACGGAAAGACCCCGUGGACCUUUACUACAGCUUGACACUGCUACUUGGAUAAGAAUGUGCAGGAUAGGUGGGAGGCUUUGAGUAUAUGACGCCAGUUGUAUAUGAGCCAUUGUUGAGAUACCACUCUUUCUUAUUUGGGUAGCUAACCAGCUUGAGUUAUCCUCAAGUGGGACAAUGUCUGGUGGGUAGUUUGACUGGGGCGGUCGCCUCCCAAAUAAUAACGGAGGCUUACAAAGGUUGGCUCAGAACGGUUGGAAAUCGUUCGUAGAGUAUAAAGGUAUAAGCCAGCUUAACUGCAAGACAUACAAGUCAAGCAGAGACGAAAGUCGGUCUUAGUGAUCCGGUGGUUCUGUGUGGAAGGGCCAUCGCUCAAAGGAUAAAAGGUACCCCGGGGAUAACAGGCUGAUCUCCCCCAAGAGCUCACAUCGACGGGGAGGUUUGGCACCUCGAUGUCGGCUCAUCGCAUCCUGGGGCUGGAGCAGGUCCCAAGGGUAUGGCUGUUCGCCAUUUAAAGCGGUACGCGAGCUGGGUUCAGAACGUCGUGAGACAGUUCGGUCCCUAUCUGCCGUGGGCGUAAGAAGAUUGAAGAGAUUUGACCCUAGUACGAGAGGACCGGGUUGAACAAACCACUGGUGUAGCUGUUGUUCUGCCAAGAGCAUCGCAGCGUAGCUAAGUUUGGAAAGGAUAAACGCUGAAAGCAUCUAAGCGUGAAGCCAACUCUAAGAUGAAUCUUCUCUAAGCUCUCUAGAAGACUACUAGUUUGAUAGGCUGGGUGUGUAAUGGAUGAAAGUCCUUUAGCUGACCAGUACUAAUAGAGCGUUUGGCUUAUCUUUAAUAAAGCAU
Molecule: ribosomal RNA, 3071 nt
Filed under: Campylobacter coli
Lineage: Bacteria; Pseudomonadati; Campylobacterota; Epsilonproteobacteria; Campylobacterales; Campylobacteraceae
Description: 23S ribosomal RNA
Rfam family: Bacterial large subunit ribosomal RNA
Source: RNAcentral